RNAcentral lists this ribosomal RNA (502 nucleotides) under uncultured Glomeromycotina. Its description in RNAcentral is "partial small subunit ribosomal RNA". It matches the Rfam family "Eukaryotic small subunit ribosomal RNA", at positions 591 to 1092 of the family's 1831-position model. Lineage: Eukaryota; Fungi; Glomeromycota. The record is from RNAcentral.
CCAAUAGCGUAUAUUAAAGUUGUUGCAGUUAAAAAGCUCGUAGUUGAACUUCGGGGUCUACCCAUUGGUCCGGCUUAAUUGUCUGCACUGGUGAGAUGGAUCUCUACCUUCUGAGGAACUUUCAUGCCAUUUAUUUGGUGUGAUGGGAAAUCAGGACUGUUACUUUGAAAAAAUUAGAGUGUUUAAAGCAGACUAUCGUCUGAAUACAUUAGCAUGGAAUAAUGAAAUAGGACGGACUGAUUCUAUUUCGUUGGUUUCUAGGAUCACCGUAAUGAUUAAUAGGGAUAGUUGGGGGCAUUAGUAUUCAAUUGUCAGAGGUGAAAUUCUUGGAUUUAUUGAAGACUAACUACUGCGAAAGCAUUUGCCAAGGAUGUUUUCAUUAAUCAAGAACGAAAGUUAGGGGAUCGAAGACGAUCAGAUACCGUCGUAGUCUUAACCAUAAACUAUGCCGACUAGGGAUCGGACGAAGUUAAUUUUAUAAUGACGCGUUCGGCACCUUACG